AUUGAACGCUGGCGGCAUGCCUUACACAUGCAAGUCGAACGGCAGCACGGGUGCUUGCUCCUGGUGGCGAGUGGCGAACGGGUGAGUAAUACAUCGGAACAUGUCCUGUAGUGGGGGAUAGCCCGGCGAAAGCCGGAUUAAUACCGCAUACGAUCCACGGAUGAAAGCGGGGGACCUUCGGGCCUCGCGCUAUAGGGUUGGCCGAUGGCUGAUUUGCUAGUUGGUGGGGUAAAGGCCUACCAAGGCGACGAUCAGUAGCUGGUCUGAGAGGACGACCAGCGACACUGGGACUGAGCCACGGACCAGACUCCUACGGGAGGCAGCAGUGGGGAAUUUUGGACAAUGGGCGAAAGCCUGAUCCAGCAAUGCCGCGUGUGUGAAGAAGGCCUUCGGGUUGUAAAGCACUUUUGUCCGGAAAGAAACCCUUGGCUCUAAUACAGUCGGGGGAUGACGGUACCGGAAGAAUAAGCACCGGCUAACUACGUG
This 486-nucleotide ribosomal RNA is filed under the name uncultured bacterium. Its description in RNAcentral is "partial 16S ribosomal RNA". It matches the Rfam family "Bacterial small subunit ribosomal RNA", at positions 30 to 507 of the family's 1533-position model. The record is from RNAcentral.